GCGCGGCCGUCGCACCUGCACGAGGCUGUGGCCCGAGCGUCCUGUGGAGAAGCCGCGAAGCGCGGGCGACCCGGGGGUCGGGCGGGCCAGGUCCGCGAGGCCGCGGCGGCAGCUGUGCAGGCCCGGGGAGCAGCCGGCCGGGCGAGCCUCGG
RNAcentral lists this unclassified non-coding RNA (152 nucleotides) under Homo sapiens (human). RNAcentral's name for it is "meiosis specific with OB-fold (ENSG00000282650.1)". The record is from RNAcentral. Lineage: Eukaryota; Metazoa; Chordata; Mammalia; Primates; Hominidae.